This 777-nucleotide unclassified non-coding RNA is filed under the name Hevea brasiliensis (rubber tree). The record is from RNAcentral. Lineage: Eukaryota; Viridiplantae; Streptophyta; Magnoliopsida; Malpighiales; Euphorbiaceae.
CGGAGAGCAGGUUAAGUACGCUGGUCCGUCACUUGAGUGAGCAGUCCCCUUCAUCUCCAGCUGCUCUCAUGGCGUCCCCGACUGCCGGCGUUGUUGGCUCCGUCUUCGCUCACGUCGUCCAGGCCCCCGAGGAUCCGAUCCUAGGGGUCACGGUUGCGUAUAACAAGGAUCCAAGCCCCAUCAAGGUGAAUCUAGGAGUUGGUGCGUAUCGGACAGAGGAAGGAAAGCCUUUGGUGUUGAACGUGGUGAAACAAGCUGAACAGAUUUUGCUUAAUGACAGUUCUUUCAAUAAGGAGUACCUUCCUAUCACGGGUAUAGCAGAUUUCAACAAAUUGAGUGCGAAACUGAUAUUUGGAGCCGACAGCCCUGCAGUUUUAGAAAACAGGGUCGCCACUGUUCAAUGUUUGUCAGGUACUGGUUCAUUGAGGGUUGGAGGUGAGUUUCUGGCAAGGCAUUACCAUGAGCGCACCAUUUAUGUACCACAACCAACAUGGGGAAACCAUAACAAAAUUUUUAUGUUCGCGGGGCUGUCUGUUAAGAGUUACCGUUAUUAUGAUCCACAAACGCGUGGGCUGCACUUUCAAGGUCUGCUAGAAGAUCUUGGUUCUGCUGCUCCAGGAUCCAUAGUUAUUCUUCAUGCAUGUGCUCAUAACCCAACUGGAGUUGAUCCAACUCUUGAUCAGUGGGAGCAGAUCAGGCAGUUGAUUAGAUCAAAAAGAUUGCUACCUUUCUUUGACAGUGCAUACCAGGGUUUUGCAAGUGGAAGCCUGGAUGCGG